UUUUGGCCCUAGAGAGUUAGGAUGAUGGUUGUAAACUAUUAGUUGAAUACAUGUUCCCAAAGUG
Molecule: transfer RNA, 64 nt
Filed under: Albinaria turrita
Lineage: Eukaryota; Metazoa; Mollusca; Gastropoda; Stylommatophora; Clausiliidae
Description: transfer RNA-Tyr
Source: RNAcentral